GACGAACGCUGGCGGCGUGCUUAACACAUGCAAGUCGAACGGAAAGGCCCUGCUUUUGUGGGGUGCUCGAGUGGCGAACGGGUGAGUAACACGUGAGUAACCUGCCCUUGACUUUGGGAUAACUUCAGGAAACUGGGGCUAAUACCGGAUAGGAGCUCCUGCUGCAUGGUGGGGGUUGGAAAGUUUCGGCGGUUGGGGAUGGACUCGCGGCUUAUCAGCUUGUUGGUGGGGUAGUGGCUUACCAAGGCUUUGACGGGUAGCCGGCCUGAGAGGGUGACCGGCCACGUUGGGACUGGAAUACGGCCCAGACUCCUACGGGAGGCAGCAGUGGGGAAUAUUGCACAAUGGGCGGAAGCCUGAUGCAGCAACGCCGCGUGCGGGAUGACGGCAUUCGGGUUGUAAACCGCUUUCGCCUGUGACGAAGCGUGAGUGACGGUAAUGGGUAAAGAAGCACCGGCUAACUACGUG
RNAcentral lists this ribosomal RNA (468 nucleotides) under uncultured bacterium. RNAcentral's name for it is "partial 16S ribosomal RNA". It matches the Rfam family "Bacterial small subunit ribosomal RNA", at positions 28 to 507 of the family's 1533-position model. The record is from RNAcentral.